AACUCCGGGAAACCGGGGCUAAUACCGAAUGAUAAGACGUGGCGCAUGCCACGCCUUUGAAAGAUGGUUUCGGCUAUCGCUUACAGAUGGGCCCGCGGUGCAUUAGCUAGUUGGUAGGGUAAUGGCCUACCAAGGCAACGAUGCAUAGCCGACCUGAGAGGGUGAUCGGCCACACUGGGACUGAGACACGGCCCAGACUCCUACGGGAGGCAGCAGUAGGGAAUCUUCCGCAAUGGACGAAAGUCUGACGGAGCAACGCCGCGUGUAUGAAGAAGGUUUUCGGAUCGUAAAGUACUGUUGUUAGAGAAGAACAAGGAUAAGAGUAACUGCUUGUCCCUUGACGGUAUCUAACCAGAAAGCCACGGCUAACUACGUGCCAGCAGCCGCGGUAAUACGUAGGUGGCAAGCGUUGUCCGGAUUUAUUGGGCGUAAAGCGCGCGCAGGCGGUCUUUUAAGUCUGAUGUGAAAGCCCCCG
RNAcentral lists this ribosomal RNA (475 nucleotides) under uncultured bacterium. RNAcentral's name for it is "bacterial SSU rRNA". It matches the Rfam family "Bacterial small subunit ribosomal RNA", at positions 145 to 606 of the family's 1533-position model. The record is from RNAcentral.